UGCGGAGGGAUCAUUACAGAGUUACAAACUCCAAACCUUUGUGAACAUACCUACGUUGCUUCGGCGGCCUCGCCCCGGGCGUCGCGGUGCCCUAACGGGAGCCGCGGCGGCCGGACCCAGGCGACCGCCGGGGGACCCAAACUCUUGUUUUUUUCAGUGUAUUCUGAGUGGCAUAAGCAAAUAAUCAAAACUUUCAGCAACGGAUCUCUUGGUUCUGGCAUCGAUGAAGAACGCAGCGAAAUGCGAUAAGUAAUGUGAAUUGCAGAAUUCAGUGAAUCAUCGAAUCUUUGAACGCACAUUGCGCCCGCCAGUACUCUGGCGGGCAUGCCUGUCCGAGCGUCAUUUCAACCCUCAGCACCCGCCUUCGCGGCGGGAGCUGGCGUUGGGGAUCGGCCGCCCUCAGCGGCGGCCGGCCCCGAAACGAAGUGGCGGCCGCGUCGCGACCUCCUCUGCGCAGUAGCGAUACCUCGCAGCCUGGAUAGCGGUGCGGCCACGCCGUAAAACCCCAACUUACCAAGGUUGACCU
This 526-nucleotide unclassified non-coding RNA is filed under the name Geosmithia sp. 3 MK-2020. Its description in RNAcentral is "sequence contains 18S rRNA gene, ITS1, 5.8S rRNA gene, ITS2, 28S rRNA gene". The stretch from base 189 to 342 matches the Rfam family "5.8S ribosomal RNA". Lineage: Eukaryota; Fungi; Ascomycota; Sordariomycetes; Hypocreales; Bionectriaceae. The record is from RNAcentral.